RNAcentral lists this ribosomal RNA (528 nucleotides) under uncultured Gammaproteobacteria bacterium. RNAcentral's name for it is "bacterial SSU rRNA". It matches the Rfam family "Bacterial small subunit ribosomal RNA", at positions 126 to 649 of the family's 1533-position model. The record is from RNAcentral. Lineage: Bacteria; Pseudomonadati; Pseudomonadota; Gammaproteobacteria.
CUACCUAGUAGUGGGGGACAACCCGAGGAAACUCGGGCUAAUACCGCAUACGACCUAGGGGUGAAAGCGGGGGAUUUUCGAACCUCGCGCUAUUAGAGGAGCCUGCGUUGGAUUAGCUUGUUGGUGGGGUAACGGCCUACCAAGGCGACGAUCCAUAGCUGGUCUGAGAGGACGAUCAGCCACACUGGAACUGAGACACGGUCCAGACUCCUACGGGAGGCAGCAGUAAAGAAUAUUGCGCAAUGGGCGAAAGCCUGACGCAGCCAUGCCGCGUGUGUGAAGAAGGCCUUAGGGUUGUAAAGCACUUUCAGUGGCGAAAAAAGUGAGGGGUUAAUACCCCCGCUCUUUGACGCUAACCACAGAAGAAGGUCCGGCUAACUCCGUGCCAGCAGCCGCGGUAAUACGGAGGGACCGAACGUUAAUCGGAAUUACUGGGCGUAAAGCGCACGUAGGCGGUUCGUUAAGUGGGAUGUGAAAGCCCCUAGGCUCAACCUAGGAAUUGCAUCUCAAACUGACGGGCUAGAGUGU